Long non-coding RNA from Gorilla gorilla gorilla (western lowland gorilla), 3478 nucleotides. RefSeq lists it as uncharacterized. Lineage: Eukaryota; Metazoa; Chordata; Mammalia; Primates; Hominidae. The transcript is spliced from 3 exons. The record is from RefSeq and is a predicted model, not a curated record.
UAACAGUCCUUCAGCAUUUGCCAACUACCACCUUGGCUCUGAUUUCACAUCACUAUGCAGUUUUUCCAUGAACAUUUUCCAGGGGUAAUUGACUAGAAUCACACUAGACUAACUUUGUGAGGUCAAGAACUGUAUCUGUCCUACUUACCUAUCUGUGCUUCUAGCGUAGAGUAUACAAAAUCGAGCUCAAUAUUGGUUUAAUAAAAUGGAUAUAGCUUUGUUUUUACUUUACAGCCCUUCUCUUACAUGUUGGAUUAUCAUUGAUCAGCUUUGAGUAAUUGGAGAUCUUGACUUUGGAGUGUUCUGUCAACCUGAGGACCAGAGUAUUAUGGGCUGCAUUGUGUUCGCCCUCCCACCUCAUCCAUAUAUUGAAGUCCUAACCCCCAGUACCUCAGAAUGUGACUGUAUUUGGAGACAAGAUUCGUAUAGAGAAUUAACAACAACAGAAUGAAGCUCUGGUAGAAUGAAGUGGAAUCCCUGCUGAACCCAGAAGCAAAAGAAGUUAGAGGGAACAGGACUGGAGCCUAUGAAAACAUCUCAGCAAUGAAAGAGGUGCUUACCAAUGGGCAUAAGGGUCACACAGUAUGAUGAUGUGAUGUGGGAAAGGACACUCCAUCUGCCUGUGUGCCUGAGAAGAUGAAGACCUAGGCUGAAAUAUUCUGGCAUUCAAUAAGGAUUAAUUUGUCCAUACUAGCUACUGGGUAUUUGAAUUUUAUAAAAUUAUAUUUUAUAGUUGUAUAAUGUUAUAGUUUUAUAAUUUUAUCACCAAAGUUUUUCAAGAUCUCUUUCACUUUGUAUUUUUGCUGGUUUCUUUCUCAAAACACAUGUCUGGUAAUGCCAUUCUCCACUUCAAAGAAUAGGACACAAUUACACAAAGCAUAGAACAAAGCCUAGGUUUCUUUCAUGGCAUUUAUCGUUCUUUGGAAUCUAUUAUAUCUCUUACUCCCUCCACAAACCCUGAUUUUAGCAAUGCUGAAAACACUCGGUGCAGAGACCAAGGUGGAUUCACUUUAUUUCUCCUGUGCUCAGUACAAGCUGUGGCACAGAGUAGGUGGCCAGCGCAUGCUUCCUGAACGAAUGGAUGGAUGCAACUAUGGGGCAGUCUCUCAAGCGUGCCUUUCCCCGGCUCUCCUUUACGUUGGCUCGUGCUGCACUCUCCAUCUGGAAAGCCUUUUCCUGCCACUUUCUAUUUUAUAUGUAUCUAUUAUUGCCCUGUGUGUUCAUGUCCAGAGCAGAUGACAGCUCCCAGGGCAACUUUCCUAGAUGUUGGACUUCAUCCCUCUGUGUUCUGAAUCCGCCUUAUGAAUAUGGCCUUCAUGGUACUUUUUAUUCUACCCUAGAUGACAGUGUCUGUGGGCAAUUUAUUUCUACCCUGAACAAGAAUAGAACAAGAAUCCUGGGUGACAGAAGCAGUAUUUUACAGAACUUUUCAUCCUCUGUAAUACUUUGAGGAUUCAAGGGUCUAAGUAAAUCUUAAUUAGCUAGAAUCCUCCCUUUCUGCAUUCCCUCCUCUGUAUCCCCUAAACUUCUCCCUUCAGUUCAUCAUUUUCCUCAGUUUGUACCUUCCUACCCUGUUUUAAAUGGUAUCCUCUUAAGUCCCACGUUUCUCUCCUGACUCCUCCUCAUAUCUUUCACCCCACUCAUGGAAGCCUGGGCUCAGGUCCUCCUUUUUCUUAUAGGGCCAGCUCCUGCCCCUGCACUUUUUUCUUCUUAUGAGUACUAUAAAGGCAGUAACAGUGACCGUUUUGAAGACACAAAGAGGAGUGUGAGAUAGUUACAAAGAUGGUGGCCCCUUGGCCUGGGGAAUUAGAAUAAAUGAAAAAUUAAAAUAUGGAGGUAGAGCAUAUCUCUCUAAGGAAGACUGCUCUCUAUUUGGCUUUAGCCCACAUUGUUGAGGGGGACAUUAUCUUUGAGGAGGUCCUCACUUGCCUUCUCUCUUGCCAGCUCUGCCCCAGAACUCUCCAAGCAACUCCAGGUCACAAAAUAUGAAACAGUAGUAGAUGAGUCAGUCCAUGCCCAAGAAGAGGCUCUAGUGGGGAUUGAGGUGAGGAAAGGUUAUGGAGGCUGGAUCAGGGCCAAGGCAUAGUCCAGGUAGCAAGGGGAUGGUGAGUUAGGCAGGACACCAGGGAAAGGGUGGGAGGUCUAAGAUGCUUUCUUCUCAUCUAUGGUGAGGGCUGGGGAGAAGAAAUGUUAAAGAUGGUCCAAGUUCAUUUAUACUCACAUCUUCCCAUUUGUCCAGCUCAAUUUCCCUUUCUCCACAUCAUACCAAUACUUCCAUUUUUUUCUUAAAUUCUUUUAUGCAUGCUCUUAUUCUUUUCUAUCCCUAAUAGUACAGUUCUCUUUGUCAUCAUUGUUUGGUAAUCCUGUAUGUUUUUUAAUAACCUGGAUUUCUCAAUUUGUUUGCUUUUUUGUCCAAGUCCAUCUGAGUCAUGUCUUCAUCUGAGGUGGAUUUAUAUCCUCAUCCUCCACUGAUUCUGUUAUCAUUUUGAGGUGGGGGAGGCCUGUGGCUAGAGGGGAACCUGGGGACUUAUUCUACUUUCUAGCACUAUCUUAAGGAAGACUGCCACCAGGAGUGGGACUUCUCAGUGUUUGGUUCCCACACCCGGACAAAGCAGGUCACAAAGCAGGUCGGGGAUCUGAAGCUGUUUGUCAGAAACUAGCUACAGGUGUGAGGAGGCAGCCAUGGAGAUAGGAAAAGAGAAAUAAGCCUCAGGGAAGUUUUGAGAGAAAUGACACGCCUAUGGCCUUAAAGCUGAGCCACAAGGUGGAGAGAAAGCCUUCUUAUGAGCUUAAAACAUAACCAGGAGCCAAAAAUGUUUAAUCCUUUUUGAUGCCACGUGGAAGGACCAUGAUAUUGGGGUCUUAUACCUUCCUUUCAAUAACCUCCCACAAGCUGAGCUAACAAAAGAAUAUUUCUUCAGCAGGCAGGUAUAUGGUAAGUCCAGCUAACUAUUUAAAAAAUCUAAAUAUCUAAGACAAUCCCUUAACUUUUCAUUCUUUUCACUCAUUAAUAAGCUGUUUGGUUCCUUUUUCUUUUUAAUUUGUGCAAAUGUACAUAGCACAUGAGAAAUUUUGUUAUGUGUAUAUAAUACAUAGUGAUCAAGUCAGGGUAAUCAGGGUGUCCGUAACCUAAGUACAAUACAUUUUGUUAAGUAUAGUCAUCCUACUUUGCUAUCAAACACUGAAUUUAUGCAUUCUAUCUUACUGUAUGUCUGCAUCUUUUAACACACUUCUCUCAUCUUUCCCAGUCUUUGUUAUCUAUUUUUCUACUCUGUCUCCAUGUGUGCAAAUUUUUUAUCAGCUAGUCAAUUUCUGUGUCUUCAUGUAACUAGUGUGUGCAUGGCAAACCACACUGUACUAAGGACUGAAAUGGGGCUGUAUGGAAUGAGUCAAUUUAUACAAAUAUGUUUGCAGAUAUCAAAAGUGUAUGACAGCCUCAACCCUAAAUUAUUCUGUACCUCCAAAUAAAAGUUUAUUU